UGGCUCAGAUGGUAAAGCGUCUGCCUGCCAUGCGGAAGAUCUGGGUUCAAUUCCUGG
This 57-nucleotide transfer RNA is filed under the name Bos taurus (domestic cattle). It matches the Rfam family "tRNA", at positions 8 to 63 of the family's 71-position model. From Rfam's summary of the family: Transfer RNA (tRNA) molecules are approximately 80 nucleotides in length. Their secondary structure includes four short double-helical elements and three loops (D, anti-codon, and T loops). RNAcentral also lists the same sequence under 2 other names. Lineage: Eukaryota; Metazoa; Chordata; Mammalia; Artiodactyla; Bovidae. The record is from Rfam by way of RNAcentral.